GCUUGCUCCUUUGACGUUAGCGGCGGACGGGUGAGUAACACGUGGGCAACCUACCCUAUAGUUUGGGAUAACUCCGGGAAACCGGGGCUAAUACCGAAUAAUCUCUUUUGCUUCAUGGUGAAAGACUGAAAGACGGUUUCGGCUGUCGCUAUAGGAUGGGCCCGCGGCGCAUUAGCUAGUUGGUGAGGUAACGGCUCACCAAGGCGACGAUGCGUAGCCGACCUGAGAGGGUGAUCGGCCACACUGGGACUGAGACACGGCCCAGACUCCUACGGGAGGCAGCAGUAGGGAAUCUUCCACAAUGGGCGAAAGCCUGAUGGAGCAACGCCGCGUGAGUGAAGAAGGUUUUCGGAUCGUAAAACUCUGUUGUAAGGGAAGAACAAGUACAGUAGUAACUGGCUGUACCUUGACGGUACCUUAUUAGAAAGCCACGGCUAACUACGUGCCAGCAGCCGCGGUAAUACGUAGGUGGCAAGCGUUGUCCGGAAUUAUUGGGCGUAAAGCGCGCGCAGGCGGUCCUUUAAGUCUGAUGUGAAAGCCCACGGCUCAACCGUGGAGGGUCAUUGGAAACUGGGGGACUUGAGUGCAGAAGAGGAAAGUGGCAUUCCAAGUGUAGCGGUGAAAUGCGUAGAGAUUUGGAGGAACACCAGUGGCGAAGGCGACUUUCUGGUCUGUAACUGACGCUGAGGCGCGAAAGCGUGGAGAGCAAACAGGAUUAGAUACCCUGGUAGUCCACGCCGUAAACGAUGAGUGCUAAGUGGUAGGGGGUUUCC
This 773-nucleotide ribosomal RNA is filed under the name Lysinibacillus boronitolerans. Its description in RNAcentral is "bacterial SSU rRNA". It matches the Rfam family "Bacterial small subunit ribosomal RNA", at positions 78 to 835 of the family's 1533-position model. The record is from RNAcentral. Lineage: Bacteria; Bacillati; Bacillota; Bacilli; Caryophanales; Bacillaceae.